RNAcentral lists this small RNA (29 nucleotides) under Bombyx mori (domestic silkworm). Its description in RNAcentral is "piRNA piR-bmo-2205503". The record is from RNAcentral. Lineage: Eukaryota; Metazoa; Arthropoda; Insecta; Lepidoptera; Bombycidae.
UUUUGAUCUACUUGUACUGUAAAAACAUA